RNAcentral lists this ribosomal RNA (492 nucleotides) under uncultured bacterium. Its description in RNAcentral is "partial 16S ribosomal RNA". It matches the Rfam family "Bacterial small subunit ribosomal RNA", at positions 29 to 507 of the family's 1533-position model. The record is from RNAcentral.
AGUGAACGCUGGCGGUAGGCCUAACACAUGCAAGUCGAACGGCAGCACAGUAAGAGCUUGCUCUUACGGGUGGCGAGUGGCGGACGGGUGAGGAAUACAUCGGAAUCUACUUUUUCGUGGGGGAUAACGUAGGGAAACUUACGCUAAUACCGCAUACGACCUACGGGUGAAAGCAGGGGAUCUUCGGACCUUGCGCGAUUGAUUGAGCCGAUGUCGGAUUAGCUAGUUGGCGGGGUAAAGGCCCACCAAGGCGACGAUCCGUAGCUGGUCUGAGAGGAUGAUCAGCCACACUGGAACUGAGACACGGUCCAGACUCCUACGGGAGGCAGCAGUGGGGAAUAUUGGACAAUGGGCGCAAGCCUGAUCCAGCCAUACCGCGUGGGUGAAGAAGGCCUUCGGGUUGUAAAGCCCUUUUGUUGGGAAAGAAAAGCAGCAGGUGAAUACCCCGCUGUUCUGACGGUACCCAAAGAAUAAGCACCGGCUAACUUCGUG